RNAcentral lists this ribosomal RNA (435 nucleotides) under uncultured bacterium. RNAcentral describes it as "partial 16S ribosomal RNA". It matches the Rfam family "Bacterial small subunit ribosomal RNA", at positions 29 to 507 of the family's 1533-position model. The record is from RNAcentral.
AACGAACGCUGGCGGCAUGCCUAACACAUGCAAGUCGAACGAUUGCCUUCGGGUGAUAGUGGCGCACGGGUGCGUAACGCGUGGGAAUCUGCCCUUAGGUUCGGAAUAACAGCUGGAAACGGCUGCUAAUACCGGAUGAUAUCGCGAGAUCAAAGAUUUAUCGCCUGAGGAUGAGCCCGCGUUGGAUUAGGUAGUUGGUGGGGUAAAGGCCUACCAAGCCGACGAUCCAUAGCUGGUCUGAGAGGAUGAUCAGCCACACUGGGACUGAGACACGGCCCAGACUCCUACGGGAAGCAGCAGUGGGGAAUAUUGGACAAUGGGCGCAAGCCUGAUCCAGCAAUGCCGCGUGAGUGAUGAAGGCCCUAGGGUUGUAAAGCUCUUUUACCCGGGAAGGUAAUGACUGUACCGGGAGAAUAAGCCCCGGCUAACUCCGUG